UUCCGAAACCUUGAUUUUCAACCUAUCCUGAACCCGGAAAAACUGUGAGCAGUGUGACGUAAAUCAAGUCAACUCAUAGGUAACAUUGGCGGGGAAUGCAAAAACACUGACAGUGUCGCGAGUUCGGUAGCACAGAAUUUUGUCAGGUCCAGGACGGAAAAUGAAUUGAAAGCUAGGUUAGUGCCAUGACAAAACAAAUGUGAUGUCAAUUGUUUUUUUCGAGCCAUGGGAUACUAAGUUACGUGAUCAUCGCCUGCUAGCCUGCUACUUAGCCAGUUAAACUUAUAUUGCUUGCUAAUAACGUCAGCUAGCUACAUAGUGGUAAGCUAUGUAGCUAGCGUUCUAGCCAACUGGUGUACAGUAGUCUGGCCAUAUCAAUUACUGUUACUGUACAUAGCUCUAACGUUAAACCCAAUCAAUGACUCUAACCUGUGGAAGAAAACUGGAGAACCAUGUUCGACCCAUUUGUGGAUCAAGUCUGGGAAGAACUGGGACCGCUGGAUCCAAACUGGUUUGAAGAGCUGACGAUCAAAGGACGGAUUACUGGGAAUGACACUACCACAGAAGAAGAUCCAUUGAGCAGGAAUAUACCAACAGACGAAGGUGGAUGUUUCAAAACACCAUUAGAUAAAUCUGCAGUAGACAAUCAGCUCUUCUCUACACCUAAGGUUUUUAGAUGUAGUAGAGUACAUUUCCCUGAAACGGAUGAAGAUGGGUUAUUGUCCUGUGAAAAAGUAUGCCAUGAAGGGACUUCAGAAAAAGUAACAAGUUUGUUAUGGACAGAUACAAGCCCAAGCUUAUUUGGAUCAUGUGAAAAUGGGUAAGGA
Long non-coding RNA from Osmerus eperlanus (European smelt), 827 nucleotides. RefSeq lists it as uncharacterized. NCBI's taxonomy places the organism in Eukaryota, Metazoa, Chordata, Actinopteri, Osmeriformes, Osmeridae. The record is from RefSeq and is a predicted model, not a curated record. The transcript is spliced from 3 exons.